Rosa rugosa (rugosa rose) is the source of this 810-nucleotide long non-coding RNA. RefSeq lists it as uncharacterized. The transcript is spliced from 2 exons. The record is from RefSeq and is a predicted model, not a curated record. Lineage: Eukaryota; Viridiplantae; Streptophyta; Magnoliopsida; Rosales; Rosaceae.
UUGAUGGAUUACAUUUUAACAUUUGAAAUAACAUGUGCCAUUUAAGAACAGGGAGGGAAUGCAUUUGGAAUGUUUACAAAGUUGGGAGUGCAUGUUGAAUAAGUAUGCGGGGUGGGGUAGCAGGAUAAUGAUGAUAACCAAUUUCCUAUAGCCUGAUUAGAAACCUACAGGUGAUGCUGUCAACUAAGGAUAGGAAAGACAACAACAAAUUGAAAAUCAACUCAAAAUCAAGGAAACCGGAAACCAGAUGAAAGCAUCCCGGUUUUCACAAUUGUGUGCAAGUUUUUUAUAGUUCUUAGUUUGCUACUUUGUCUCAUAGACAUUUUAUCUGUUUAGUUAGUGAGAUAUGAAAGCUGGUGAUGUUUGCUGUGCACAUUUGCUUAUCCCCAUGCAACUGUUAUUCAGUGAGCACCAAGCAGAAGCGUUAACGGAGAAGGGUCAAGGACGUACAAGAGAUGGAAAAUGAUCUUCAUGGAGAAACAGAUAUGGGAGCAUGAAACUGCGUCACUAGUGAUAGGCGAUCAGCUAGUGUAUCAAUAGCACAUUGAAUUAUUAUCAUACUAAUCAUUGCGUUGAAUUCACUUAAACUGUAGCCUAAGAAAGACAGCGUUUAGCAUAUGUACUGAAAAAGCCAUUCAGCAUUUUGGACUGCACAGAGAUGGGUACCUGAUCUCUAGAGUGCACAAUUUGAGCCUAAAAAUAUUUGUCCAGCUUGCCCUGUUAUUUCAUCUUGCAUGCAUUGGUGGAUACAUAAACUCGGUGUACACCUUUGUGAUUCAUGGUGACAUAUUUGCAUUCUUGCUGACUUUA